This 253-nucleotide ribosomal RNA is filed under the name uncultured bacterium. Its description in RNAcentral is "partial 16S ribosomal RNA". It matches the Rfam family "Bacterial small subunit ribosomal RNA", at positions 524 to 776 of the family's 1533-position model. The record is from RNAcentral.
UACGGAGGUCCCAAGCGUUGUUCGGAAUUACUGGGCGUAAAGGGAGCGCAGGCGGACUGGUCAGUCUGAAGUGGAAAUCCGGGGCUCAACCUCGGACUUGCUUCGGAUACUGCCAGUCUUGAGUUCGUGAGAGGAAGAUGGAAUUCAGGGUGUAGCGGUGAAAUGCUCAGAUAUCCUGAGGAACACCGGUGGCGAAAGCGGUCUUCUGGCGCGAAACUGACGCUGAGGCUCGAAAGCGUGGGGAGCAAACGGG